RNAcentral lists this ribosomal RNA (512 nucleotides) under uncultured bacterium. Its description in RNAcentral is "partial 16S ribosomal RNA". It matches the Rfam family "Bacterial small subunit ribosomal RNA", at positions 28 to 523 of the family's 1533-position model. The record is from RNAcentral.
GAUGAACGCUGGCGGCGUGCCUAUACAUGCAAGUCGAACGCGCAGCGAAAGGUGCUUGCACCUUUCAAGCGAGUGGCGAACGGGUGAGUAACACGUGGAUAACCUGCCUCAAGGCUGGGGAUAACAUUUGGAAACAGAUGCUAAUACCGAAUAAAACUUAGUAUCGCAUGAUACAAAGUUAAAAGGAGCUACGGCGUCACCUAGAGAUGGAUCCGCGGUGCAUUAGUUAGUUGGUGGGGUAAAGGCUUACCAAGACGAUGAUGCAUAGCCGAGUUGAGAGACUGAUCGGCCACAUUGGGACUGAGACACGGCCCAAACUCCUACGGGAGGCUGCAGUAGGGAAUCUUCCACAAUGGGCGCAAGCCUGAUGGAGCAACGCCGCGUGUGUGAUGAAGGCUUUCGGGUCGUAAAGCACUGUUGUAUGGGAAGAAAUGCUAAAAUAGGGAAUGAUUUUAGUUUGACGGUACCAUACCAGAAAGGGACGGCUAAAUACGUGCCAGCCGCCGCCGUAA